UUUUAGUGGCGAACGGGUGAGUAACACGUGAGAAUCUGCCUUUAGGAAGAGGAUAACAUUUAGAAACAUUUGCUAAUACUCUAUAUGCUUUACAGUGAAAGAAUUUAUUCGCCUAAAGAGGAGCUCGCGUCUGAUUAGCUAGUUGGUGGGGUAAAGGCCUACCAAGGCGACGAUCAGUAGUUGGUCUGAGAGGACGGCCAGCCACAUUGGAACUGAGACACGGUCCAGACUCUUACGGGAGGCAGCAGUGAGGAAUUUUCUGCAAUGGGCGAAAGCCUGACAGAGCAAUACCGCGUGAGGGAUGACUGCCUACGGGUUGUAAACCUCUUUUCUCAAGGAGGAAGAUCUGACGUUACUUGAGGAAUAAGCAUCGGCUAACCCUGUGCCAGCAGCCGCGGUAAUACAGGGGAUGCAAGUGUUAUCCGGAAUUAUUGGGCGUAAAGCGUCUGCAGGUUGAUCUACAAGUCUUUUGUUAAAUUUUCAGGCUUAACCUGAAGUCAGCAAAAGAAACUGUUUAUCUUGAGUAUGGUAGAGGUAA
Molecule: ribosomal RNA, 538 nt
Filed under: uncultured Leptolyngbya sp.
Lineage: Bacteria; Bacillati; Cyanobacteriota; Cyanophyceae; Leptolyngbyales; Leptolyngbyaceae
Description: bacterial SSU rRNA
Rfam family: Bacterial small subunit ribosomal RNA
Source: RNAcentral